CAGCACCUCAAGUGGUCAGGAUGAUUAUUGGGCCUAAAGCAUCCGUAGCCCGCUUUGUAAGUUUUCGGUUAAAUCCAUACGCUCAACGUAUGGGCUGCCGGGAAUACUGCAAAGCUAGGGAGUGGGAGAGGUAGACGGUACUCGGUAGGAAGGGGUAAAAUCCUUUGAUCUAUUGAUGACCACCUGUGGCGAAGGCGGUCUACCAGAACACGUCCGACGGUGAGGGAUGAAAGCUGGGGGAGCAAACCGGAUUAGAUACCCGAGUAGUCC
Molecule: ribosomal RNA, 270 nt
Filed under: uncultured archaeon
Lineage: Archaea
Description: partial 16S ribosomal RNA
Rfam family: Archaeal small subunit ribosomal RNA
Source: RNAcentral